Molecule: long non-coding RNA, 270 nt
Filed under: Elaeis guineensis (African oil palm)
Lineage: Eukaryota; Viridiplantae; Streptophyta; Magnoliopsida; Arecales; Arecaceae
Description: long non-coding RNA (EGUI_LNC070034)
Source: RNAcentral
GAGUGUGGCUCGACUAAUUUUUGUGUACCCAUGGAUAGAUUCUUAAUCAAUUAUUUCACCAAAUAAUUUUUAGUAUUCAAUUUUGCCCCAGACACCUCUUCAGCAGGCGUGUGGUGCCUCCACUGAAAGUUUUAGUUAGGUCCAACCAUUAACAUGCUAGAAUUUAGUGUAUCUAACAAAUGAGUGAUCAGGCCCGAGUGUGGUUUGGCCAACCUUAUCAUUAUCAAAAAGACACAACUAAAACAACAUAUUAUGAAUGAUAAUUCCAAC